Molecule: long non-coding RNA, 743 nt
Organism: Pistacia vera
Lineage: Eukaryota; Viridiplantae; Streptophyta; Magnoliopsida; Sapindales; Anacardiaceae
Exons: 3
Source: RefSeq, a predicted model, not a curated record
GUACCACAAGAAAAGAGGAAGGAAAAACUAGAAGCAAACCACUCAAUAAUGGCACAAAUUUAAUGAGUCUGGAGGAAGAGGUAAUGGGUAUGGGAUACUAAGGCAGAGAAGAGAAGAGAACAUUGAGAGAAGCAGGAGAGGAAAGAAAGAACAAAAAAGCUUAUUGUUAUUACAGAUGAUAAAAACCUAAUUGAAGUAUCCAUUUCAGUUUCACUGCAGAAUAGCUUCCUGCACCACACAGCGCUCCAAGGAUGGGAGCUAUUAAGUAGACCCAUAUGGCCUUGUAAUUGUUUGCCGCAAUGGCUGGACCCAGUGUUCUUACCGGAUUCAUUGAACCGCCAGUCGAAGGUCUGCGACGUAACAGAAGAAAAGAGUUUUCAAAAGAUCUUAAGAUCAUAGUAAUAAUUUUCACUCGACUUGUUGAAUAAUUGAAUUUUGAUGUAUACAGAAAUCAGAUGAUUUAUUGAAGGAUUGUCAAUUCAUCUCUAACAUAUAUCCCAUAUCUUGGUCCUUUUGCAUUGGAAGUGUGCUUUUAUAUUCUCAGAUGAUUUUUGCCUAUUAUUUUGUCAAACUUUGUUGUCUGUUCUAGCUUUUGUAAGGAUCAAACAUCCCCAUCAGUUACAGUAUGUUUGCCGCGUGAGUUUGGAUAAACUAUUGCAUUAAUUUUCACCAUUUUCAUUCAUUGGAUCUAAAUAAUGGUCCCGAAAGAAGUCUUUUAGUCAAUGGCGGUGUCAGAAGCCUUU